UGCCAGACUCCUACGGGAGGCAGCAGUGGGGAAUAUUGGACAAUGGGGGAACCCUGAUCCAGCGACGCCGCGUGAGUGAAGAAGUAUUUCGGUAUGUAAAGCUCUAUCAGCAGGGAAGAAAGAAAUGACGGUACCUGACUAAGAAGCCCCGGCUAACUACGUGCCAGCAGCCGCGGUAAUACGUAGGGGGCAAGCGUUAUCCGGAUUUACUGGGUGUAAAGGGAGCGUAGACGGCGAUGCAAGUCUGAAGUGAAAGGCGGGGGCCCAACCCCCGGACUGCUUUGGAAACUGUAUAGCUGGAGUGCAGGAGGGGCAGGCGGAAUUCCUAGUGUAGCGGUGAAAUGCGUAGAUAUUAGGAGGAACACCAGUGGCGAAGGCGGCCUGCUGGACUGCAACUGACGUUGAGGCUCGAAGGCGUGGGGAGCAAACAGGAUUAGAUACCCCAGUA
RNAcentral lists this ribosomal RNA (448 nucleotides) under uncultured bacterium. RNAcentral's name for it is "partial 16S ribosomal RNA". It matches the Rfam family "Bacterial small subunit ribosomal RNA", at positions 329 to 792 of the family's 1533-position model. The record is from RNAcentral.